The sequence is a regulatory RNA element, 100 nucleotides long. It matches the Rfam family "TPP riboswitch aptamer (THI element)". Rfam says of the family: Vitamin B(1) in its active form thiamin pyrophosphate (TPP) is an essential coenzyme that is synthesised by coupling of pyrimidine and thiazole moieties in bacteria. The previously detected thiamin-regulatory element, thi box was extended, resulting in a new, highly conserved RNA secondary structure, the THI element, which is widely distributed in eubacteria and also occurs in some archaea. The record is from Rfam.
UUGAAAAGCCGGGGGUGUUUCUCCUUGUGGAGAGGCUGAGAGAGUCCCUUGGAACCUGAUCCAGUUCAUGCUGGCGUAGGGAAGGCUGACAGGCUCAUAG